AAGUAAAAGUGUACAAGGUUCCGUAGGUGAACCUGCGGAAGGAUCAUUA
This 49-nucleotide ribosomal RNA is filed under the name Nephroma resupinatum. RNAcentral describes it as "partial 18S ribosomal RNA". Lineage: Eukaryota; Fungi; Ascomycota; Lecanoromycetes; Peltigerales; Nephromataceae. The record is from RNAcentral.